AGAGUUUGAUUCUGGCUCAGAACGAACGCUGGCGGCGUGCCUAACACAUGCAAGUCGAGCGAGAAAGUCCCGGCAACGGGAUAAGUAAAGCGGCAAACGGGUGAGUAACGCGUAGGUAAUCUAUCCUUCGGAUCGGGAUAACCUGCUGAAAAGUGGGAUAAUACCGGAUAACGUUCUUGUGAGUAUCUCAUGAGAACCAAAGGAGGCGAGCGCAAGCAGCUUUCACCAAAGGAGGAGCCUGCGUCCGAUUAGCUAGUUGGUGGGGUAACGGCCUACCAAGGCGACGAUCGGUAGCCGGCCUGAGAGGGCGACCGGCCACACUGGAACUGAGACACGGUCCAGACUCCUACGGGAGGCAGCAGUGGGGAAUAUUGCGCAAUGGGCGAAAGCCUGACGCAGCGACGCCGCGUGGGUGAUGAAGGCCUUCGGGUCGUAAAGCCCUGUCGGGUGGAACGAAUGGCCUGGCGGCAAAUAACCGCUAGGUGUGACGGUACCACCGAAGGAAGCCCCGGCUAACUACGUGCCAGCAGCCGCGGUAAGACGUAGGGGGCGAGCGUUGUUCGGAUUUACUGGGCGUAAAGCGCGCGUAGGCGGCUAGAUAAGUCGGGUGUGAAAUCCCUCGGCUUAACCGAGGACCCGCAUCCGAUACUGUCUGGCUCGAGUCUAGGAGAGGAAAGCGGAAUUCCCAGUGUAGCGGUGAAAUGCGUAGAUAUUGGGAGGAACACCGGUGGCGAAGGCGGCUUUCCGGACUAGCACUGACGCUGAGGCGCGAAAGCUAGGGGAGCGAACGGGAUUAGAUACCCCGGUAGUCCUAGCCGUAAACGAUGGGCACUAGGUGUGGGAGGUAUUGACCCCUUCCGCGCCGUAGCUAACGCAUUAAGUGCCCCGCCUGGGGAGUACGGCCGCAAGGCUAAAACUCAAAGGAAUUGACGGGGGCCCGCACAAGCGGUGGAGCAUGUGGUUUAAUUCGACGCAACGCGAAGAACCUUACCAGGGCUUGACAUCCCACGAACCUGCCUGAAAGGGCGGGGUGCCCGCAAGGGAACGUGGAGA
RNAcentral lists this ribosomal RNA (1053 nucleotides) under NC10 bacterium enrichment culture clone Enr-Rb10. RNAcentral's name for it is "bacterial SSU rRNA". It matches the Rfam family "Bacterial small subunit ribosomal RNA", at positions 8 to 1034 of the family's 1533-position model. The record is from RNAcentral. Lineage: Bacteria; Methylomirabilota (SeqCode).